UCUUGGUCAUUUAGAGGAGUAAAGUCGUAACAAGGUUUCCGUAGGUGAACCUGCGGAAGGAUCAUUAUCGAAUCGUAGGCGAGGGUUGUCGCUGGCCUCUCGGGGCAUGUGCACGCCCGAGCCCUUGAAUCCCAAACACCACAUGUGAACCCACCGUAGGCCUUCGGGCCUAUGUCUUAUCAUAUAAUCUGAAUGUCUAAUAGAAUGUAAACCCAUUUCGUUGCCUUGAAAACGUAACGAAAGAAAACUAUACAACUUUCAACAACGGAUCUCUUGGCUCUCGCAUCGAUGAAGAACGCAGCGAAAUGCGAUAAGUAAUGUGAAUUGCAGAUUUUCAGUGAAUCAUCGAAUCUUUGAACGCACCUUGCGCCCCUUGGUAUUCCGAGGGGCAUGCCUGUUUGAGUGUCAUUAAAUCCUCAACCCCUCCGAUUCGUUUCGGUGGGGAUUGGACUUGGAGCGUGCUGGCGAAGGUCGGCUCCUCUUUAAAUGCAUCAGCGGAGAAAAUGCCUUUUGCGCCUCUGGCCGUUCAGCGUGAUAAUGAUGUUGCGCUGCGGUCGAGCUUAAGGUCCGCUUCCAAAGGUCCUCGGACAAAUAUACAUAUGACUUUUGACCUCAAAUCAGGUAGGACUACCCGCUGAACUUAAGCAUAUCAAUAAGCGGAGGAAAG
Molecule: ribosomal RNA, 667 nt
Filed under: uncultured fungus
Lineage: Eukaryota; Fungi
Description: eukaryotic LSU rRNA
Rfam family: 5.8S ribosomal RNA (bases 254-408)
Source: RNAcentral